UGCANGUCGAACGGCAGCACGGACUUCGGUCUGGUGGCGAGUGGCGAACGGGUGAGUAAUGCAUCGGAACGUGCCAUUGAGUGGGGGAUAACGUAGCGAAAGUUGCGCUAAUACCGCAUAUUCUGUGAGCAGGAAAGCAGGGGACCGCAAGGCCUUGCGCUCUUUGAGCGGCCGAUGUCAGAUUAGCUAGUUGGUGAGGUAAAGGCUUACCAAGGCGACGAUCUGUAGCGGGUCUGAGAGGAUGAUCCGCCACACUGGAACUGAGACACGGUCCAGACUCCUACGGGAGGCAGCAGUGGGGAAUUUUGGACAAUGGGGGCAACCCUGAUCCAGCCAUGCCGCGUGAGUGAAGAAGGCCUUCGGGUUGUAAAGCUCUUUCGGCCGGGAAGAAAUCGCAUGGGCCAAUACCCUGUGUGGAUGACGGUACCGGAAUAAGAAGCACCGGCUAACUACGUGCCAGCAGCCGCGGUAAUACGUAGGGUGCGAGCGUUAAUCGGAAUUACUGGGCGUAAAGCGUGCGCAGGCGGUUUUGUAAGACAGGCGUGAAAUCCCCGGGCUUAACCUGGGAACUGCGUUUGUGACUGCAAGGCUAGAGUACGGCAGAGGGGGGUGGAAUUCCACGUGUAGCAGUGAAAUGCGUAGAGAUGUGGAGGAACACCAAUGGCGAAGGCAGCCCCCUGGGUCGAUACUGACGCUCAUGCACGAAAGCGUGGGUAGCAAACAGGAUUAGAUACCCUGGUAGUCCACGCCCUAAACUAUGUCAACUANGUGUUGGGUUGGUAAAACCAUUUAGUACCGUAGCUAACGCGUGAAGUUGACCGCCUGGGGAGUACGGCCGCAAGGUUAAAACUCAAAGGAAUUGACGGGGACCCGCACAAGCGGUGGNNGAUGUGGAUUAAUUCGAUGCAACGCGAAAAACCUUACCUACCCUUGACA
This 936-nucleotide ribosomal RNA is filed under the name uncultured bacterium. RNAcentral describes it as "bacterial SSU rRNA". It matches the Rfam family "Bacterial small subunit ribosomal RNA", at positions 56 to 986 of the family's 1533-position model. The record is from RNAcentral.